GCUCAUACACAAAGUAGAUUUUAUUUGAUUUUCUGUGCUGCUCAUGAAACAUUCCUUUAUAUUUUGGGGAAACAGUAAUAACGUUUUCAAAGAUAGAAUAACAUAAAUUAUUCUUUAUUUAUUUAAUUUACCUAUAUUAUUAUGUCACAUUAUUCCAGUUUUUACUGUAUAUUUGACCAAAUAAAUGUAGCCUUCAUAAACAUAAUUAAAACUUUAAAAAAUACAUCGAGCAGAUCCCAAACGUUUGAACAGUAGUGUACAUUUUGCCAUUGUGAACACAGUGUUUUUAAUGAAAUGUUUUUUGUCUUGCCCUUUAUGAGUUCACCAAACCAAGAUUUUCCGGAUCCCACCAUUGCUGCAGCAAAGCCAAAUUUUAGUGUGGCUAGAAGACCAUCACAGGUUGACGUCCAGCCCAGCAGUGUGUAGUGCUUCUACACCAAGCACAGCUACACAAGACCUUCAAGUUUCUGCCCCCGUCCUCACAUCCAUUGCGGCAGUGACCAGCUCCACAGAGCCGUCCAGCAUUGUCUCAACUGCAUUGCUGCAAGCUCCAUCAGCUGUUCCACUUCCUCGCCUUUGGGCUGAAACCUUGCCACCAGAGGACCACAAGAGGAUUGCCAGCAGGCUUUUAAAAUGGGGUCCAAAGGAAAGCCAGAGCUUUGUAACAACCUCCAGCUCUGGUAUUACCCUCCACAGCCUGCACUUACAUACAAUCAGGCUCCAGCUCCAGCCAGAUUUUUCUGUCAAUCACUUUUGCUGUGGAUGCCAUACAAGCUGUGGAGGGUCAAAGUCCUUUGCCCUAAUCCUGCAUGUGGACGGCAUCAGCUGACAGGUGGAGGUCUUCAAAAAAGGGCACGGCUGGUUCUGGACAUC
Molecule: long non-coding RNA, 873 nt
Organism: Danio aesculapii
Lineage: Eukaryota; Metazoa; Chordata; Actinopteri; Cypriniformes; Danionidae
Exons: 3
Source: RefSeq, a predicted model, not a curated record